This is a small nucleolar RNA of Jaculus jaculus (lesser Egyptian jerboa), 205 nucleotides long. Its record names the gene U3. It matches the Rfam family "Small nucleolar RNA U3". From Rfam's summary of the family: Small nucleolar RNAs (snoRNAs) are involved in the processing and modification of rRNA in the nucleolus. There are two main classes of snoRNAs: the box C/D class, and the box H/ACA class. Lineage: Eukaryota; Metazoa; Chordata; Mammalia; Rodentia; Dipodidae. The record is from Ensembl.
AAGACUAUACUUUCAGUGAUUAUUUCUGUAGUUGUUAUUAGAGAAGUUUCUCUGACUGUGAAGAGUACCAGAAACCACAAGGAGGUGGUGUAGCAUUCUCUCCUUAGUGUGAAGCUGAAUCCUGAUAUUAUUGCUUUGAUGUAACUGCCACUUGUCAUUAAUGAUCAUUCCUGCUCUUCUUUGGGGAAGCUGAAGUCUAAGUGGA